This 440-nucleotide ribosomal RNA is filed under the name uncultured bacterium. RNAcentral describes it as "partial 16S ribosomal RNA". It matches the Rfam family "Bacterial small subunit ribosomal RNA", at positions 338 to 795 of the family's 1533-position model. The record is from RNAcentral.
CCUACGGGGGGCAGCAGUGGGGGAUAUUGCACAAUGGGGGGAACCCUGAUGCAGCGACGCCGCGUGGGUGAAGGAGCGUUUAGGCGCGUAAAGCCCUAUCGGCAGGGAAGAAGAUGACGGUACCUGACCAAGAAGCCCCGGCUAACUACGUGCCAGCAGCCGCGGUAAUACGUAGGGGGCAAGGGUUAUCCGGAUUUACUGGGUGUAAAGGGGGCGCAGACGGCAAUGCAAGCCAGGAGUGAAAGCCCGGGGCCCAACCCCGGGACUGCUCUUGGAACUGCAUGGCUGGAGUAAAGGAGGGGCAGGCGGAAUGCGUAGUGUAGCGGUGAAAUGCGUAGAUAUUAAGAGGAACACCGGUUGCGAAGGCAGCCUGCCAAGCCAUGACUGACGCUGAUGCACGAAAGCGUGGGGAUCAAACAGGAUUAGAUACCCGAGUAGUC